Notechis scutatus (mainland tiger snake) is the source of this 572-nucleotide long non-coding RNA. RefSeq lists it as uncharacterized. NCBI's taxonomy places the organism in Eukaryota, Metazoa, Chordata, Lepidosauria, Squamata, Elapidae. The record is from RefSeq and is a predicted model, not a curated record.
UUUUUUGUCUGGGAGUAUGACGCUGCUUCUCUUUUCUCUCUUCCGGCCUUUCCUCAUUUUCACUUCAGGCUGGUUGCUUAUGAGACGCCCAUUUUCUUCUGACACAGAUUCGGUUGCCUUGGGUGACAUGACUUCAAGUUCAAAGCUACCAAUGUAAAUGGAAACAAAUUAAUUAACUUAAUUAAUCUGCCCACAGUACUGCCGUUCCCUUGCAGAGGUUCUUUGCAAUAUGGCAAAUCUAAUGACAUCAGGCAGUUCCAGAGGGAAAGCAGGAAUUGGAAGUCCUAGCAGCUGAAAACUAGUUAGGGAAAACAUUACAACUACCAAGUCUUUUCUUUUUAGUGCUGGCAUUCAUUCCUUAGUCAGGAAAGAGAUGAAAACAGGAAUUGACAACCAAAGGAGAAAACUCAUGCCAGGAAGCUGGCCCAUAACUAACCUUUCUACAGGAAUCUUGUUUGGUGUACCGCAGUCAGAAUUCAUGGAGGACAUUGAAAUAAUGGACAUCUGACGAUACGAUCUCAGCAUAGAUUUUGGUCGACCUAACCGCCUGUCAUCAAAAUCCGGCUUAGAGA